GCUGGGCGUGGUGGCUUACGCCUGUAAUCCCAGCACUUUGGGAGGCUGAGGCGGGUAGAUCACCUGAGGUCAGGAGUUCGAGACCAGCCUGACCAACAUGGUGAAACCCCGUCUCUA
Molecule: unclassified non-coding RNA, 117 nt
Organism: Macaca mulatta (Rhesus monkey)
Lineage: Eukaryota; Metazoa; Chordata; Mammalia; Primates; Cercopithecidae
Rfam family: Metazoan signal recognition particle RNA
About the family: The signal recognition particle (SRP) is a universally conserved ribonucleoprotein. It is involved in the co-translational targeting of proteins to membranes.
Source: Ensembl